UUACCUCCCUAUAAAACAAGAAUGCCCAAACACAGGCUUGUGUGAAGGUUGGGGGGGGUGGAGGGGAACAACCCUUGCAGGUUUUUGAGGUCAAACCUCAGCAGCCCUUUGGCAGGAGGGUUUGCUCCAUCGCUGCUUCAGAGAUGGGGAAACUGAGGCACAAGGCGGACACGAGAUGCUGUCACUGUCCCCUAAGGAGGAGGAGAGAGGAGUUUGUCUAAAUGUCCCUGUUCCCUUCCUGGGCAACAGCCCCCCAUCUUGCCCCCUUCCUCCAAAUGUGCAAUGUGCUCCCUAUCCCUGUUAAGCUCAGGUUUGGGUUAUCCCACAGGUAGAACAUCUGCAAUAUCUGCUUUCCAAGCUUUGGGUUGCAGAGCACAGAAGAACCCCCCCCAGAUCAGCGCUCGGCUGCCAAAAAAUAGUGCAACAAGUCCCGGGAGCCCCAUGCAAAAAGCAGCUGCCUCCUCCAAGAGCAACACGCGGGAGGUUUUUUGGUGGGACCCGCUGCCACCCGCAUCCACCUCCGUCCCACAGCAGUGGGCCCCGUGCGAGCUGAUGGCCGUGUCCUUGCUGCCUCCUUACCAAAGGUACCAGCACAUGCACCAACACCUUCCCCUCGGCUUUGGCAGAAAAUCGGUUUGGCCAGAACCACCUCAGAGGUGGGUUGUGCUCCUCCCCGAUGAAUCCUGAACGCUCCAGCAUUCUCUGUGGCUCAGCGGGAUUUGCAGGGCUGAUCCAAUGGGAGUCCCCCAUGUCGAUAAGAGCACAGCAAGGAAGCGAAGAGAUGGGGAAGAUCUGUGAUGUACCCAGGUGAUGCUCGCACAAGACUCAUCUUUACCUGAAACCAUCUCAGCCUCGUCUUACGUGGUGAGAGCACAAAUCCCUCCUCAACGCAUAGCGGACAAUGCUGGUAUGAGGAAGAGAAUGGCAGGAAUUGGCAGAAAUGCUGUGAAAUCCUGGACUCGGGAGGUACGAGACACCCCAAGCAGCGCAGAGACCUUUGGGCACGUCUCCAGAGAAAAGAAGUAUUCAAAAUAAACAGUUAAUCCACUGCGAUUCUUCAACUGGGGAAGCCCCGAGGACACCAAACGCUCCGAGAGGUGGCUGCAUGUUUUUGGAAGAGGAGCAAACCCUUUGGUGACCCCCAACAGCACCGGAAUGGGGAGCUGCAGCAGUCAGAGCCAGUCGUCCAGAUGUGCCGGGGAUAGAAGUCAGAUGUGGCUCGAAUAGAUGUGAGGAAUUCAAGCGGGGGAAAACCACACCGGGUGGACGAAGCAGGAAUUGGAGCAGAGAGCCGCUCCGCACCCACGCUGCCUCCUUCUUCUCCUGGUUAUCUACUGAAAACCCCGUCCUUUGAUCAGACUCCCCCCAGACUCAAUGGUGAGUGUCCUGGGGAUCUCAUCAACCUCAGCAACCCAGGUUUUCUUCUUUUGGAGGCCAAGCAAAGCAUCAAGUUGUACUUUUUGGUGGUGCCGUUACCUCCCCACAUGACCAGAUGCAAUGGGAGGUGCCAGCUGCCCGUUCCUCAGCUGCCACGAGGAUAUCUGAGGCUUAUUUCUCCCAGAAUAUGUGAUCACAGCCACGGCCGAGGACCGGGGAGGAGUUCAGGUCUGCAUCCAGAUGUUCACAGGGUCUGUGGGCGUUUAGAUUCCUUCCGGACCCAACCCCGUCCCCGUUAAACCUCGCGGGAGGUUCCCGGUGAGUGUGCAGUGCUCCUGGCUUGCAAAACACCUCCAGAUUCAACAAAUGCAGCUGCUGUCACCGCUUACCCUGAAACCUGCUGGCACCAGGGAGCCUGUCACCCCCGAACACCACUGUACCCUGUGCAAGGACCUCUUCUUACAUCUGUUCGCCUGUGAACACGCGACAGCAAAUCCCAGCAUCACUGGGGAAUGAACACUGGCAUUUAGGGAGUCAUUUGGCAUGUCACAGGUUUGGCUUUCAGGUGGGACUUCAGGAGCGAUUUCUCCUGGUUCUGGCUGUAAAAAAUGGGGCAUCUCUCUGUCCUUGUUGCCAUCUCUUGCACGCUGAGCUCCUUCAUUACAUCCUGUCAGGUUUUGGUGUUGAAUAUUGCUGCUUAGCAGCUCCUAAAUGCGAGGUGUACUGGACUUGAAGCAAAACACACAAUGUAAAAAAGCACAAGUGAAUGACUUGUAGGUCAUCUUUACAUUCUUGACCUCUCCGUCGUCUCUCCGAGCUGCUAUAUGUUGCCUGGUGCUCCCGGCAGACAAUACCCCAUUGAUCACGCCGAGGAGCUGAUGCCAACGGAGAGGGUCGCGCUGCCACCGGGCCCCGACCCGCCCUUGGAAAUGCCUCGCACAAUGCACAGAUUGUGUACGUCAGCGCAUUGUGGCACCCAUACGAUGUCGCUGAUGCUCAGACACACAAAAAGGGUCUUAUGGUAGUGGGGUACAGGCGUUCCUUUCACAGGGCGAUGGACGUCAUUGGUUUGGUCCCUUUUCUUGCUGGAAACAAAAUGCCCUUUAAAAAUAAAGCAAUAAGAGCUGAACUGGCCAUGCUUUCGGUCUCCCCCCUUUUCUGUAGGGUGCCCUGCCCAUGCAGAUAACCCCAAGGAGAGGAGAAUUAGCACUUCAUAUUUCUAAUGUGCAAGUCGGGAGCAAGAACCCAGCCAGCCGGCAGCCAGACCGUGCCGAAAUCCCUCCUGCUAUUCUCCAGCAGCCCCAGUUGGGUUUGGUCCGAGCCCUUUUCUCUGGAGAGUUACCAGCAUUGGCUGCACUGGGAUCACCCCAA
This 2748-nucleotide long non-coding RNA is filed under the name Columba livia (rock pigeon). RNAcentral describes it as "partial uncharacterized LOC102084307". Lineage: Eukaryota; Metazoa; Chordata; Aves; Columbiformes; Columbidae. The record is from RNAcentral.